RNAcentral lists this small RNA (107 nucleotides) under Rhizobium sp. Leaf306. RNAcentral's name for it is "Alphaproteobacterial ar15". It matches the Rfam family "Alphaproteobacterial ar15". The record is from Rfam by way of RNAcentral. Lineage: Bacteria; Pseudomonadati; Pseudomonadota; Alphaproteobacteria; Hyphomicrobiales; Rhizobiaceae.
AGCCGGAGCAAUUGAUGACGUCCCCGUCAUCAGCGCCGGCUGUUCCCCUCUGGAGGUUUUAGACCUUCACACCUGACGGGCCUCGGAGCAAUCUGGAGGCCCUUUUU